AUUGAACGCUGGCGGCAGGCCUAACACAUGCAAGUCGAGCGGAUGAAGGGAGCUUGCUCCUGGAUUCAGCGGCGGACGGGCGAGUAAUGCCUAGGAAUCUGCCUGGUAGUGGGGGAUAACGUCAGGAAACGGGAGCUAAUACCGCAUACGUCCUGAGGGAGAAAGUGGGGGAUCUUAGGACAUCAAGCUACUAGAUGAGCCUAGGUGGGAUUAGCUAGUUGGUAGGGUAAAGGCCUACCAAGGCAACGAUCCGUAACAGGUCUGAGAGGAUGAUCAGUCACACUGGAACUGAGACACGGUCCAGACUCCUACGGGAGGCAGCAGUGGGGAAUAUUGGGCAAUGGGCGAAAGCCUGAUCCAGCCAUGCCGCGUGUGUGAAGAAGGUCUUCGGAUUGUAAAGCACUUUAAGUUGGGAGGAAGAGCAGUAAGUUAAUACCUUGCUGUUUUGACGUUACCAACAGAAUAAGCACCGGCUAACUUCGUG
This 484-nucleotide ribosomal RNA is filed under the name uncultured bacterium. RNAcentral's name for it is "partial 16S ribosomal RNA". It matches the Rfam family "Bacterial small subunit ribosomal RNA", at positions 30 to 507 of the family's 1533-position model. The record is from RNAcentral.